This is an RNA transcript of Trifolium pratense (red clover), 2119 nucleotides long. It is a transcript of the gene named F-box/kelch-repeat protein At3g06240-like, with no coding region annotated. The transcript is spliced from 4 exons. The record is from RefSeq and is a predicted model, not a curated record. Lineage: Eukaryota; Viridiplantae; Streptophyta; Magnoliopsida; Fabales; Fabaceae.
GAGAAUUUUGAAAAAAAAUUCAUAUCACCGUAUAGGUGUCGGUAUCGGUGUGGUAUAUCGGUAUCGUGUCCCUGGAGCAGGCUUCAUGGAUAGUCACACUUCCAAUUCAUCAUCCAUCCGCAUCACGUGUUGUUCUGUCUAUAAUAAACCCUUCCUUACUUGCCAUCAUAAUUGCUUUCUUCGGCCAACCACCGUCCAUGACUAUCUUCUAGUUCUGUUCUACUACCAAGGGUAAACCAUGAAAAGAAAAAAGUAUUCAAUUCCCUCUCCAAGGGUUAGCCAAAGAUGCAAUAAAGUUGUUGAUGAAACAGAAAAUCAUGAACUUUGCCCUUACUUUGCUAAUAUUCCAUCUCACCUUGUUGUGCAAAUUUUGCUUCAACUUCCGAUUAAGUCUCUUCUCAUUUGUAAAUGUGUCUGCAAAAUGUGGAAAGCACUCAUUUCAGAACCACAUUUUGUUAAAUUGCACUUUCACAAAACACCCGUUAGUCUCAUGAUUCGGACCAAAGACCAUAGAGUGUCAAGAACCCUACACCUUCUUGAAUGCGAGCCUGAGAAGUUUGAGAUUGGAAGUGACAAUCAUGUCAAGCUUCAGCCUAUAUUCAAGCUUCCUCUUCGUGAUGCCAAAUCGUUAAGGGAGAAAAUGAUGAAUAAACCCAAGCGCCCUGUUCGUGCUGUGAGAUUAGUUUUGGAGAAAAACACUGACAAGAACAGUGAUGGGGAUAGUCAAAUGCUUAAUAUUGAUUCCAAACCAUAUUAUGAUAAGUUUGGCGUUGUGAAUUCUUGCAAUGGCUUGCUUUGUUUGUGUUGUCCAUUUGAAGGAAACCCUUUAGUGAUUAGCAAUCCAGUCACUGGUGAGUUUAUAAGACUUCCUAAAUCUGCUAACGCUCCUAGUCGAGUACGUAAGCUAGAACCAGUUGGUUUUGGUUUUGGUUUCCAACCUAAAACUAAUGAAUAUAUGGUGAUACAAAUUUGGAAUAAAUAUGUUAGACGUUCCUAUACCCGGGUGUUGGAGCGUAUGAUAUUUGAGAUAAACACAGUUGGAACACUAUCAUGGAGAAAUGUUGAAGUGGAUCCUCAAGUUUCUAAUUCGACGCUUAAGUAUCCCACUUGUUUGAAUGGCGUGAUUCAUUGGAUCAGAUUUGAGGGUCAAACUCAGAAUAGGUCUAUAUUGUGUUUUUGUUUAGAAAGUGAGAGGUUGCAAUCAUUUCCUUCUCCUCCACAUGUGUUUAGAAAUCAUCAUACAGUUUCUCGUAAUGAGCCUAUCAGCAUGGGAGAAUCAAGGGGAUUGCUUUACAUUUGCGAUAGAUCUUCUUUCCAUGAUGUUACAAUGUGGGUUAUGAAAGAAUAUGGCAUUGGAGAAUCAUGGACUAAGGUUUACAACAUUGAUACUUCGAUCAGUGCUUUGGGCAGACCGGAUCGGUGGCGUUGUGGUUUAUGUUGGCCGCUAAAACACUUUGAAGAUGGUGCUUCCUUGCUGUUAUAUCAUUCCUGCAAGUGUCUUAUCUACUUCGAACCUGAGAAAUAUGGAUUCAAAGUUUUUCGAAUUCAUGGGACUGAUUCAGAACAAGUUCAAAUAAUUCCACACACUCCAAGUCUAGUCUCAUUAAAAGAUGUUGUGAAAGGAGACAAUAUUGAGGUGCUGAAUAUCUACUCAAUGUGUGCAAAUGUUAAAUUGCGCGAAGAAAAUGAAGUUCUUUCCUUGUCUCAACAACUUGUUUGAGACUUGGUAAGUACACGUUCUUCAUCAUCUUAUUGUAAUUUGAUUUAUAUAUCUUCCUCAAUUUGAUGGUGAAGAAUUCGGUGAUGAACUUGUUUCUUAAGAAGAGUGCACAAAUUUUAAAGUCUGUGAAGAAAAUGAAGAUCCUGAAUGAUGGCUUGACAAGUGCUCUCCUCCUCCUCCUCAGGUGGUGGGCCUUUUGAUGAAGAGUACAACUCCAAAGUUAUGAUUUCGCUAGUUGUGAUAUUUGAAAAAAUACAUAUCUCGUUUUAUGAUGCAAAAUGAUGUCUUUUUGUAAUCUUUAAUCCUAGAUGUUCAUUAGUCGUUAUCUAUGGUUUUACAAGACUGGCAUGUUAUCUUGUUGGCUUAGUUUAUAAUGUUAGACUUCAUUUAUACACUUCA